CAGUAGCCGCGGGAAAACGUAGGUGGCAAGCGUUGUCCGGAUUUAUUGGGCGUAAAGCGAGCGCAGGCGGUUUCUUAAGUCUGAUGUGAAAGCCCCCGGCUCAACCGGGGAGGGUCAUUGGAAACUGGGAGACUUGAGUGCAGAAGAGGAGAGUGGAAUUCCAUGUGUAGCGGUGAAAUGCGUAGAUAUAUGGAGGAACACCAGUGGCGAAGGCGGCUCUCUGGUCUGUAACUGACGCUGAGGCUCGAAAGCGUGGGGAGCGAACAGGAUUAGAUACCCCAGUAGUCCCUGUCUCUUAUAC
RNAcentral lists this ribosomal RNA (301 nucleotides) under uncultured bacterium. RNAcentral describes it as "partial 16S ribosomal RNA". It matches the Rfam family "Bacterial small subunit ribosomal RNA", at positions 509 to 807 of the family's 1533-position model. The record is from RNAcentral.